This 72-nucleotide transfer RNA is filed under the name Chloroflexota bacterium. RNAcentral's name for it is "Chloroflexi bacterium tRNA-Lys". It matches the Rfam family "tRNA". From Rfam's summary of the family: Transfer RNA (tRNA) molecules are approximately 80 nucleotides in length. Their secondary structure includes four short double-helical elements and three loops (D, anti-codon, and T loops). Further hydrogen bonds mediate the characteristic L-shaped molecular structure. tRNAs have two regions of fundamental functional importance: the anti-codon, which is responsible for specific mRNA codon recognition, and the 3' end, to which the tRNAs corresponding amino acid is attached (by aminoacyl-tRNA synthetases). tRNAs cope with the degeneracy of the genetic code in two manners: having more than one tRNA (with a specific anti-codon) for a particular amino acid; and 'wobble' base-pairing, i.e. permitting non-standard base-pairing at the 3rd anti-codon position. The record is from RNAcentral. Lineage: Bacteria; Bacillati; Chloroflexota. RNAcentral also lists the same sequence under 2 other names.
GGGCCGCUAACUCAAGGGUAGAGUAUCUGCCUUUUAAGCAGAGAGUUACAGGUUCGAAUCCUGUGCGGCCCA